CGGAUGAACGCUGGCGGCGUGCUUAACACAUGCAAGUCGAACGGAGAAAGGGUAGCUUGCUAUCUUUCUUAGUGGCGGACGGGUGAGUAACGCGUGGGUAACCUGCCCUUUGCAGGGGGAUAACAGUGAGAAAUCACUGCUAAUACCGCAUACCAACUUCUUUCGCAUGAAGGAAGUUUGAAAGAUUUAUCGGCAAAGGAUGGACCCGCGUUGGAUUAGCUAGUUGGUGAGAUAACAGCCCACCAAGGCAACGAUCCAUAGCCGGCCUGAGAGGGUGAACGGCCACACUGGGACUGAGACACGGCCCAGACUCCUACGGGAGGCAGCAGUGGGGAAUAUUGCACAAUGGGCGAAAGCCUGAUGCAGCGACGCCGCGUGAAGGAUGAAGGUCUUCGGAUUGUAAACUUCUAUCAGCAGGGAAGAAAGGGCCUAUGGCCUAUGACGGUACCUGACUAAGAAGCCCCGGCUAACUACGUG
Molecule: ribosomal RNA, 477 nt
Filed under: uncultured bacterium
Lineage: Bacteria
Description: bacterial SSU rRNA
Rfam family: Bacterial small subunit ribosomal RNA
Source: RNAcentral